RNAcentral lists this ribosomal RNA (492 nucleotides) under uncultured bacterium. Its description in RNAcentral is "partial 16S ribosomal RNA". It matches the Rfam family "Bacterial small subunit ribosomal RNA", at positions 29 to 507 of the family's 1533-position model. The record is from RNAcentral.
AGUGAACGCUGGCGGUAGGCCUAACACAUGCAAGUCGAACGGCAGCACGGUAAGAGCUUGCUCUUACGGGUGGCGAGUGGCGGACGGGUGAGGAAUACAUCGGAAUCUACUUUUUCGUGGGGGAUAACGUAGGGAAACUUACGCUAAUACCGCAUACGACCUACGGGUGAAAGCAGGGGAUCUUCGGACCUUGCGCGAUUGAAUGAGCCGAUGUCGGAUUAGCUAGUUGGCGGGGUAAAGGCCCACCAAGGCGACGAUCCGCAGCUGGUCUGAGAGGAUGAUCAGCCACACUGGAACUGAGACACGGUCCAGACUCCUACGGGAGGCAGCAGUGGGCAAUAUUGGACAAUGGGCGCAAGCCUGAUCCAGCCAUACCGCGUGGGUGAAGAAGGCCUUCGGGUUGUAAAGCCCUUUUGUUGGGAAAGAAAAGCAGCAGGUUAAUACCCCGCUGUUCUGACGGUACCCAAAGAAUAAGCACCGGCUAACUUCGUG